GAUGAACGCUGGCGGCGUGCCUAAUACAUGCAAGUCGAGCGAACAGAUAAGGAGCUUGCUCCUUUGAAGUUAGCGGCGGACGGGUGAGUAACACGUGGGUAACCUACCUAUAAGACUGGGAUAACUUCGGGAAACCGGGGCUAAUACCGGAUAACAUUUAGAACCGCAUGGUUCUAAAGUGAAAGAUGGUUUUGCUAUCACUUAUAGAUGGACCCGCGCCGUAUUAGCUAGUUGGUAAGGUAACGGCUUACCAAGGCGACGAUACGUAGCCGACCUGAGAGGGUGAUCGGCCACACUGGAACUGAGACACGGUCCAGACUCCUACGGGAGGCAGCAGUAGGGAAUCUUCCGCAAUGGGCGAAAGCCUGACGGAGCAACGCCGCGUGAGUGAUGAAGGGUUUCGGCUCGUAAAACUCUGUUAUUAGGGAAGAACAAAUGUGUAAGUAACUGUGCACAUCUUGACGGUACCUAAUCAGAAAGCCACGGCUAACUACGUG
This 497-nucleotide ribosomal RNA is filed under the name uncultured bacterium. RNAcentral describes it as "partial 16S ribosomal RNA". It matches the Rfam family "Bacterial small subunit ribosomal RNA", at positions 28 to 507 of the family's 1533-position model. The record is from RNAcentral.